Molecule: non-coding RNA, 24 nt
Filed under: Arabidopsis thaliana (thale cress)
Lineage: Eukaryota; Viridiplantae; Streptophyta; Magnoliopsida; Brassicales; Brassicaceae
Source: RNAcentral
GAACUGUAGACGUAAGGUGGUGGU